Lemur catta (Ring-tailed lemur) is the source of this 144-nucleotide small nucleolar RNA. Lineage: Eukaryota; Metazoa; Chordata; Mammalia; Primates; Lemuridae. The record is from RefSeq and is a predicted model, not a curated record.
GACCUCCUGGGAUCACAUCUGGAAAGUGGCUAGUAUUCUGCCAGCUUUGGAAAUGGGAAGGAAAGCACGCCUGGCAGACAGAGAUUCCCAUUCCAUUCCCAGCUUACGCAGUAGCUGGCAAUUGGAAGACAUUCUGCAACAGCG